Molecule: unclassified non-coding RNA, 333 nt
Filed under: soil metagenome
Description: partial contains 5.8S ribosomal RNA, internal transcribed spacer 2, and large subunit ribosomal RNA
Rfam family: 5.8S ribosomal RNA (bases 1-120)
Source: RNAcentral
GAUGAAGAACGUAGCAAAAUGCGAUAAGUAAUGUGAAUUGCAGAAUUCAGUGAAUCAUCGAAUCUUUGAACGCACAUUGCGCCCGCCAGUAUUCUGGCGGGCAUGCCUGUUCGAGCGUCAUUUCAACCCUCAAGCUCAGCUUGGUGUUGGGACUCGCGGUAACCCGCGUUCCCCAAAUCGAUUGGCGGUCACGUCGAGCUUCCAUAACGUAGUAAUCAUACACCUCGUUACUGGUAAUCGUCGCGGCCACGCCGUAAAACCCCAACUUCUGAAUGUUGACCUCGGAUCAGGUAGGAAUACCCGCUGAACUUAAGCAUAUCAAUAAGCGGAGGA